This 260-nucleotide ribosomal RNA is filed under the name uncultured bacterium. RNAcentral's name for it is "partial small subunit ribosomal RNA". It matches the Rfam family "Bacterial small subunit ribosomal RNA", at positions 26 to 284 of the family's 1533-position model. The record is from RNAcentral.
AGAGCGAACGCUGGCGGCGUGCUUAACACAUGCAAGUCGAGUGCGCGCCUGUAGCAAUACAGGUGGCGCACGGCGCACGGGUGCGUAACACGUGGGUAAUCUGCCCUUCGAUGGGGAAUAACUUCGGGAAACCGAAGCUAAUUCCGCAUAAUAUUCCGAGAACCUUGGUUUUUGGAUUCAAAGGCGUAAGUCGUCGGAGGAGGAGCCCGCGCACGAUUAGCUAGUUGGUGAGGUAAUGGCUCACCAAGGCUAUGAUCGUU